UGAGCAAUCUGCCCUUCUCAUCGGAAUAAGCGUUGGAAACGACGUCUAAUGCCGAAUACGACCUCCUUUCACAUGAUCGGAGGUGGAAAGCUCCGGCGGAGAAGGAUGAGCUCGCGGCCUAUCAGCUAGUUGGUGUGGGUAACGGCUCACCAAGGCGACGACGGGUAGCUGGUCUGAGAGGAUGGCCAGCCACAUUGGGACUGAGACACGGCCCAGACUCCGUACGGG
This 228-nucleotide ribosomal RNA is filed under the name uncultured bacterium. RNAcentral describes it as "partial 16S ribosomal RNA". It matches the Rfam family "Bacterial small subunit ribosomal RNA", at positions 118 to 345 of the family's 1533-position model. The record is from RNAcentral.